GCUCCAUUCUUCCUAUUUCUUUUCUUCUUGGUCGAAAAACCCUUUUCAUUGUACCUACCCUCAAGUUUCAAUUCCUUCACCAUCUAUGAGAGGACUUGGAUGCAUGGUGAUCAUCUCUUCUCUGAUAAGAUGCCAAUAUUUGGAUUGAGUCAAUGUUACUCAGAAAGUUAAGGUAAGAAACUCACUUUCCAUGAACACAUAGUUUUUCCUCUUUUAAAUCCAAUCACUAAAUCUUAACCCCAUACUUGAAAUUUGUCCUUGGAUGCACGUUUACUCUUUAAAACACGAAUCUUGAGAUGUCUGGAAGGUCAUGGGUGUUGGAGAAAUUAAGUGAAACUAGAGAAUGAAGAAUUUUGGUAUCAAACCCGUAUUCAAGGACAGACCUGCACUAAAAAGGUAACUGUUCUCUCCCUGUAGCUCCGAAUGAGAUACCGUUUAUUUCUAUGGAUAGCUAACUCAAAUACGGUCGUUGUGGUACCGGUUUUAUAAGGACGAGCGAUGAGGUCGAUAGACAUUUUUGAAGUUGGAAGCCAGUAGCAGGAAUUGUGCAGAAAAUCUGGAAUUUUGGUGUUUUAUGUGCUACGGGUUUGCAUCUUGAGCGGCUCAAGCGGAUGAUUAUAUGCGAAACAGUUCGGAAUUGCUAUCAAAUCAGGUGGGUUCCUUUAGGUAAACUCUCACUUAAUAGAGUAGCCUUAUUAGUUUUCCCCAAAAUCCAACUAUGCAUGUUAACUUAAGUUUUAGGGAUUAAUNNNNNNNNNNNNNNNNNNNNNNNNNNNNNNUGAUUUUAAGUUAUGCAGGAAAUCGAGCUUGAGCCGGCUUAAACAGAGCUUGAACCGAUGCGACGUUUCCUUAAAAACUCUAAAAUGCCCAUUAUGGGUGUUAUGAGCUGGUGCAUGCGCAUCAUGGAUCAGUGCAUAACUCUCAGGAGAUGUUUUAUAAAAACUGGAAACGAUUGAAUCGGUGCAUUCACUUGUUGAAUUGACUCAACCAAGGUUUGGGCAGGUUUUAAUCGGUACAAGGGAUGCUUGAGCCGAUUCAUAUAACUCACAUUAUUUUCUUAAAAACUGAAUUAUAUGCAUCGGUGCAUAAAACACUUGAAUUGGUGCAACCUGAGAUAAUUAUUUUUGUAACAAAAACCAUUUGGUUUAUGGAUGGAGGUUAUAAUAACUAUUUUAUUUCAAUUAAAAACCCUCUGCCAUGAACAUUAUUUUAUAAAAAUAAUAAGUGACUAAAUUCCACGAUUACGGAUCUUCGUACAUGUAUUAAAAUCAGUAGACAUAGGAAUUGAAUCAGGAUAUUCAGGAUAGUUAGAUAUAUCCCGGGAAGGUUUUCUUUCUUUUGGGUAGGAUAACCAUUCAAGAUUAGGAAUUAUGUUUCAGAAUUUAUCAGGAUGGUUGGUCAUUAGUACCAAUAUCAGGAAGCGUGGUCAUUNNNNUCAUGUUGUAUUCCGACGUACAUUAUUAUCGGUAAUACCAGGCCAGGCACUCCGGGACCGGCUUACCCCGGGGUGAUCCUGUUAUGAUAAAAUUGACAAGAUAAUUAUUAUGUGUGUUACACCUUUAUUUCUUUAUUAUCAUAUUAUGAAAACUUCAGGAUUAUGUCAAGAUUAGACUUUUAGAUAUUCAGGUUCAGGUUAAAGUUAGAAACUAUUA
Molecule: long non-coding RNA, 1652 nt
Filed under: Trifolium pratense (red clover)
Lineage: Eukaryota; Viridiplantae; Streptophyta; Magnoliopsida; Fabales; Fabaceae
Description: long non-coding RNA (TPRA_LNC003544)
Source: RNAcentral